UACGGGGGGGGCAAGCGUUGUUCGGAAUUACUGGGCGUAAAGGGCUCGUAGGUGGCCAACUAAGUCAGACGUGAAAUCCCUCGGCUUAACCGGGGAACUGCGUCUGAUACUGGAUGGCUUGAGUUUGGGAGAGGGAUGCGGAAUUCCAGGUGUAGCGGUGAAAUGCGUAGAUAUCUGGAGGAACACCGGUGGCGAAGGCGGCUCACUGGCCCGUAACUGACGCUGAGGCACGAAAGCGUGGGGAGCAAACAGG
This 253-nucleotide ribosomal RNA is filed under the name uncultured bacterium. Its description in RNAcentral is "partial 16S ribosomal RNA". It matches the Rfam family "Bacterial small subunit ribosomal RNA", at positions 524 to 776 of the family's 1533-position model. The record is from RNAcentral.